AACGCAUCUUGCACCCUUUGGUAUUCCAAAGGGUACGCCUGUUUCAGUAUCAUUAUAACCUUUCUCCCCAAGGCUUUUUGGCCAAGGAGGGAAAGAGCAUAACCGGUGGCCCAGCGGUCUCCCAUCAGGGGGGAUUGUCUCGGCUGGAAUGACUGUUGCAAUGGUGGGCCAAAUGGUCUCCCGCACUUGAUAAAUGUAACUUUUAUAAAGAGCGGGGCCGGUCUGCCGAAAGUUGUAACUAAACCCUUUACCUUUGAUCUGAAAUCAGGCGGGAUUACCCGCUGAACUUAA
Molecule: unclassified non-coding RNA, 291 nt
Filed under: uncultured Absidia
Lineage: Eukaryota; Fungi; Mucoromycota; Mucoromycetes; Mucorales; Mucoraceae
Description: sequence contains ITS2
Source: RNAcentral